Molecule: non-coding RNA, 45 nt
Organism: Schistosoma rodhaini
Lineage: Eukaryota; Metazoa; Platyhelminthes; Trematoda; Strigeidida; Schistosomatidae
Source: Rfam
AUCCAUCUGACGAGUCCCAAAUAGGACGAAACGCGCAUCCUGGAU